AAUGAACGCUGGCGGCGCGCCUAAUACAUGCAAGUCGAGCGAGAAGACGUAGCAAUACGUUUGUAAAGCGGCGAACGGGUGAGGAAUACAUGGGUAACCUACCCUCGAGUGGGGAGUAACUAGCCGAAAGGUUAGCUAAUACCGCGUACGCUUCUUGGACUUCGGUUCAGGGAGGGAAAGGCGAUGCCGAGGGUAUCGCGCUCUUGGAUGGGCUCAUGUCCUAUCAGCUUGUUGGGAGGUAACGGCUCACCAAGGCUUCGACGGGUAGCUGGUCUGAGAGGACGAUCAGCCACACUGGCACUGCGACACGGGCCAGACUCCUACGGGAGGCAGCAGUAAGGAAUAUUGCGCAAUGGGCGAAAG
Molecule: ribosomal RNA, 363 nt
Filed under: uncultured bacterium
Lineage: Bacteria
Description: bacterial SSU rRNA
Rfam family: Bacterial small subunit ribosomal RNA
Source: RNAcentral